AGGGGGGUUUUACUGGGACAUGAGAGUCUGACGGAGCACGCCGCGUGAGUGAUGAAGGCUUUCGGGUCGUAAAACUCUGUUGUUAGGGAAGAACAAGUGCUAGUUGAAUAAGCUGGCACCUUGACGGUACCUAACCAGAAAGCCACGGCUAACUACGUGCCAGCAGCCGCGGUAAUACGUAGGUGGCAAGCGUUAUCCGGAAUUAUUGGGCGUAAAGCGCGCGCAGGUGGUUUCUUAAGUCUGAUGUGAAAGCCCACGGCUCAACCGUGGAGGGUCAUUGGAAACUGGGAGACUUGAGUGCAGAAGAGGAAAGUGGAAUUCCAUGUGUAGCGGUGAAAUGCGUAGAGAUAUGGAGGAACACCAGUGGCGAAGGCGACUUUCUGGUCUGUAACUGACACUGAGGCGCGAAAGCGUGGGGAGCAAACAGGAUUAGAUACCCCGGUAGUCACAC
This 451-nucleotide ribosomal RNA is filed under the name Bacillus sp. (in: firmicutes). Its description in RNAcentral is "bacterial SSU rRNA". It matches the Rfam family "Bacterial small subunit ribosomal RNA", at positions 354 to 798 of the family's 1533-position model. Lineage: Bacteria; Bacillati; Bacillota; Bacilli; Caryophanales; Bacillaceae. The record is from RNAcentral.